UACAGAGGUCUCAAGCGUUGUUCGGAUUCAUUGGGCGUAAAGGGUGCGUAGGUGGCGGGGUAAGUCAGGUGUGAAAUCGCCCGGCUCAACUGGGCGGGGUCGGCGGAUACGGCCGAGCUGGAGCAAGCUAGGGGGUAAUGGAAUUCCCGGUGUAGUGGUGGAAUGCGUAGAUAUCGGGAGGAACACCAGUGGCGAAGGCGGUUACCUGGAGCUUUGCUGACGCUGAUGCGCGAAAGCGUGGGGAGCGAUCCGG
This 253-nucleotide ribosomal RNA is filed under the name uncultured bacterium. Its description in RNAcentral is "partial 16S ribosomal RNA". It matches the Rfam family "Bacterial small subunit ribosomal RNA", at positions 524 to 776 of the family's 1533-position model. The record is from RNAcentral.